RNAcentral lists this long non-coding RNA (1017 nucleotides) under Medicago truncatula (barrel medic). Its description in RNAcentral is "long non-coding RNA (MTRU_LNC002012)". Lineage: Eukaryota; Viridiplantae; Streptophyta; Magnoliopsida; Fabales; Fabaceae. The record is from RNAcentral.
GGUAACAAGUUAUUGGCAGGAUAUAUUACCAUGGCGACAACGAAAGGUCGAAAACCACCAACUUACUUAUAUAUUCUUCACCCGGCUUUGGCUGCACGAGACCCCCCUGUUAAAUAAAGAUAUGUUAGACCAAUUUAAAGGAUGAGAAGCAAGAAUGAAUAAGCAACUUCAAUGCCCUAAAGUUAUAACACCAGAGUCAAUCACAAUUUAUUUGGGAGUCGAUCACAAUUGCUUUGGAAAUAGCAAUAAAAAAUCAUAUUAUCAAAUUUUCAUUAAGAAAAUCUAGUCUCAACUUUUGCAUACAGUGGGGAAAAAUGUUCACUAUAAUCAUUCAAGACUUCAAACCUUUAAAUUUCAAUUUCUCCAAUCUACUGGAAGAUCUUGUCAUAAUUUGGAACCACUUGUUAACCCAUACAUAUAUAAAGCAUCUGGUCCAUACAAACUAACAAGAACUCUAUAAAUUGUAAAGUCCGGAAUUAACAAGGGUAACAUUCAUUAUCUAUAAAACAUAGCAAUCAGAUUUCAUUACUAGAGAUAAGAACAUAUAUGUAUUUUUAGCAAUUAAACAAACAACAACAACAAAAGCCUUUCCACAUAAGGCAAUUUUAGCAACUAAACAUAAUGCAAAAACAAAUAAGGGUUAUUGAAAGCGAUGCUUCAUUACUGAAGCUCUUUCUUUCUACUAAAAGUUUCACUCAAUGCUUUUUAAACAAUCAUCAUUUGAUCCCAAACCAUGACAAAAAAAUGCUAGGAUGAUCAAAACACAACAUGCAGCAGCAAUUAAAAGAAAUCAAAUAUAAAUAUGAACUAAUUUUUAAAAAACAAAUAUUUAACCCUUUCUAGUAGAGUAUGUGCAUAAUCAGUCAUCACCUUUUCUUUUACUGGAAGCUUGUGAAUUGACAUUAGACAACGCCGGUCCACCUCCACAACCACGAAGAUCCUUGAGCCCCAAAUUCUGGCCUCCCAUACACUGGAGACUCUCAAACUCACAACCAUCGAAUCCUUCCUCAUUCGGCG